GUUUUAGACGAUUUAUAAUUUUACAUUUUUAUUACAAGCCUUCCACCAUUUUAAAAUGGAAUUCCUUUUCUUAUUGAGAUGAGAUAAUCUGCUGAAGAUUUAAUUAAAAUUUUCGAAUUUUUUUUGUUGAAAUCUUGAAGUGAAUCUACCGAAGUAUUUUUGGUGAUUAUGGAAUAAGUAGAUAUCUGCUUUCUUCUUUUUUCGUAAAUACAUGUAUAGAGGUACAAAUAGUUUUGAAAUAAUGAAAGAGCUUAGGUCGUUUGCAUAUAUUACUUGAGCGUCCUUCGGGGGGGGGGGAUGCAGGUGAAGGUAUAACAAAAAUAGGUACGUACCUACGAGUAAGUUAGUGAACUUUAAAAUUGUAUAAUGAAACAAUUUUAAUUUUACCUUAGCUACCGAAUGAUGUCGAAACACUGCAACAAAUGGUUAAAUCUUGGAAGAAAGACUAUGAAUAUUUGAAAAAAGUGUUUCUAGGAGAAGUUCCAUAACGUCAUCGACGAACAUUACGAACAAUGUUGAAAAAAAAUGAAGGAAUCGGAUCAAAUGACCGAAGAGUGUAAGAUCUAUAGGGUAUAGGAAUUCAGCAACCGGAGUUCUGGAGUUGAAGUAGAACAAAUUAGAUAGGUAGAUACAUGUAUUUUCCCAAUAUUAAAAAUCAAGGAUCUGCUUUUAAAUUCCCUCAUCCGUUCUAAGUUAUGUCAUUUGCAAGUUCGGUCACCUUCUCGCUGGAAUUCCGAUCUCUGAACAACCGAACCUAACCGAAAAAUAUAUUUCAGUAUUGCUCAACGCAUCUGAGCACAGGAGUUUUCUAUUACUGUGACAAUUAACACAAAUUGAUGAAAGUUGAGAUGUUAGGUACUUUUUGAAGACCACUGAAAUUUAAAAUGCGGAUGGAAAAGGAAUAUGUGGACUACAAAAUAAAUGAAUUUUAUUCCGGCUAUAAUUGGUACGAAAAACUACAAAAUAUAUCCCAAAUUUAAAUUUGGGAUAUAUUUUGUAGUUUUUUGUAAUAGUUAUAUCCGGAAUAAAAUUCAUUUAUCUUGUAAUCGACGUACUUAUUCUUUUUCCGUCCAUAUUUUAUUGGGAUUCCCGCAUGUAAAUAGCCGUAGGUAGUUAUAUACCUAAGUAAGUAAAUGGAUUAGAGUCACUCUAGUCAAAUGAAAAUACCUAUGUCGAUCGUUUGUUGUCAUUGUGCGUCUUUGUGUUAUUGAUUAAUAUUUUUUUACCACGUGUUUCUUUUGUAUUUUAAUAAAAUAAUUUGAGUUUUUUUA
Planococcus citri (citrus mealybug) is the source of this 1271-nucleotide long non-coding RNA. RefSeq lists it as uncharacterized. The record is from RefSeq and is a predicted model, not a curated record. Lineage: Eukaryota; Metazoa; Arthropoda; Insecta; Hemiptera; Pseudococcidae. The transcript has 3 exons.